This 226-nucleotide unclassified non-coding RNA is filed under the name uncultured fungus. RNAcentral describes it as "sequence contains ITS1, 5.8S rRNA gene". The stretch from base 178 to 226 matches the Rfam family "5.8S ribosomal RNA", at positions 1 to 49 of the family's 154-position model. Lineage: Eukaryota; Fungi. The record is from RNAcentral.
UCUCCGUAGGUGAACCUGCGGAGGGAUCAUUACCGAGUGAGGGCUCACGCCCGACCUCCAACCCUUUGUGAACUACAACUCUGUUGCUUCGGGGGCGACCCCGCCGUUUCGGCGGUGGCGCUCCCGGUGGCCAUUAAACACUGCAUCAUUGCGUCGGAGUUAAAGUAAAUUAAACAAAACUUUCAACAACGGAUCUCUUGGUUCCAGCAUCGAUGAAGAACGCAGC